CGAUGCAGCUCUCCUCAACUUGCCACCAAAUUCACCAGAUGCUCAGGUUUUUACCAACUUGGGGAAAAUGCUGCCGGCCCUGUAGCAGGAGGGCCAGCUGGUAGUGCGGCGGUUCCGAGUCCAAGCAGUGGCGGACCACCCACGUCGCAGCAGAAAACCGGUGGUUGUGGUGGCAAACUGAAUACCAACAGACUACUUCUUACGGCCUUUGCUGCUGUUAUAACACUAUUUUCUCCUCAACUUUAAAAACUAAACUCAACUAAAAUAAAAUUAUAGUACUUCCAUCUUUUCAUUCCAGUAUGCGUUCACGAUAUUUCUCUUUUUUCCAAUCUGUGUGGAGUAAUAAAGUUAAGUUAUUUAUCCUUUGAA
Salvia hispanica is the source of this 369-nucleotide non-coding RNA. The record is from RefSeq and is a predicted model, not a curated record. Lineage: Eukaryota; Viridiplantae; Streptophyta; Magnoliopsida; Lamiales; Lamiaceae.